This 497-nucleotide ribosomal RNA is filed under the name uncultured bacterium. RNAcentral describes it as "partial 16S ribosomal RNA". It matches the Rfam family "Bacterial small subunit ribosomal RNA", at positions 28 to 507 of the family's 1533-position model. The record is from RNAcentral.
GAUGAACGCUGGCGGCGUGCCUAAUACAUGCAAGUCGAGCGAACAGACGAGGAGCUUGCUCCUCUGACGUUAGCGGCGGACGGGUGAGUAACACGUGGAUAACCUACCUAUAACACUGGGAUAACUUCGGGAAACCGGAGCUAAUACCGGAUAAUAUAUAGAACCGCAUGGUUCAAUAGUGAAAGACGGUUUUGCUGUCACUUAUAGAUGGAUCCGCGCCGCAUUAGCUAGUUGGUAAGGUAACGGCUUACCAAGGCAACGAUGCGUAGCCGACCUGAGAGGGUGAUCGGCCACACUGGAACUGAGACACGGUCCAGACUCCUACGGGAGGCAGCAGUAGGGAAUCUUCCGCAAUGGGCGAAAGCCUGACGGAGCAACGCCGCGUGAGUGAUGAAGGUCUUCGGAUCGUAAAACUCUGUUAUUAGGGAAGAACAAAUGUGUAAGUAACUAUGCACGUCUUGACGGUACCUAAUCAGAAAGCCACGGCUAACUACGUG